AGAAUCAACGCUGGCGGCGUGCCUAACACAUGCAAGUCGAACGAGAAAGGGGUAGCAAUACCCUGAGUAAAGUGGCGCACGGGUGAGUAACACGUGACUAACCUACCCUUGAGUGGGGGAUAACUGAGGGAAACCUUAGCUAAUACCGCAUAAUACCCACGGGUCAAAGGAGCAAUUCGCUCGAGGAGGGGGUCGCGGCCGAUUAGUUAGUUGGCGGGGUAAUGGCCCACCAAGACGAUGAUCGGUAUCCGGCCUGAGAGGGCGCACGGACACACUGGAACUGAAACACGGUCCAGACUCCUACGGGAGGCAGCAGUGGGGAAUUUGCGCAAUGGGGGAAACCCUGACGCAGCAACGCCGCGUGGAGGAUGAAGUCCUUCGGGACGUAAACUCCUUUCGAUCGGGACGAUUAUGACGGUACCGGAAGAAGAAGCCCCGGCUAACUUCGUGCCAGCAGCCGC
Molecule: ribosomal RNA, 461 nt
Filed under: uncultured bacterium
Lineage: Bacteria
Description: SSU rRNA
Rfam family: Bacterial small subunit ribosomal RNA
Source: RNAcentral